GUUUUUCGGUUGCGCAAGCGCAGACGCUUUCGACACUCUACAAUGGCUGGUGUGGAAACGGUCGGGGCGACGCAGAGCGCCGGGUCCCGACGGGACGUGUGCACGGGUGUGAGAAGGUUGGACUGCCCAACGGAGGCGUGCACGUGCGCAGGGCGCCAGCACAGCCAAGCCGGAGGACGUUCGCUUCGCUAAUGAUCCUUCCGCAGGUUCACCUACGGAAA
RNAcentral lists this unclassified non-coding RNA (221 nucleotides) under uncultured fungus. RNAcentral's name for it is "sequence contains ITS1". Lineage: Eukaryota; Fungi. The record is from RNAcentral.